CCAGAAGUAGAUAGCUUAACCUUCGGGAGGGCGUUUACCACGGUGUGGUUCAUGACUGGGGUGAAGUCGUAACAAGGUAGCCCUAGGGGAACCUGGGGCUGGAUCACCUCCUUACCUAAAGA
This 122-nucleotide ribosomal RNA is filed under the name Photobacterium profundum. Its description in RNAcentral is "partial 16S ribosomal RNA". It matches the Rfam family "Bacterial small subunit ribosomal RNA", at positions 1420 to 1533 of the family's 1533-position model. The record is from RNAcentral. Lineage: Bacteria; Pseudomonadati; Pseudomonadota; Gammaproteobacteria; Vibrionales; Vibrionaceae. RNAcentral also lists the same sequence under 4 other names.